UACCCAGCAAUGGGAUGCGAAUCUCGAAAGCCUGUCUCAGUUCGGAUUGGAGGCUGAAACCCGCCUCCAUGAAGUUGGAUUCGCUAGUAAUCGCGCAUCAGCCAUGGCGCGGUGAAUACGUUCCCGGGCCUUGUACACACCGCCCGUCAAGCCAUGGGAGCCGGGGGUGCCUGAAGUUCGUUACCGCAAGGAUCGACCUAGGGCAAAACUGGUGACUGGGGCUAAGUCGUAACAAGGUAGC
RNAcentral lists this ribosomal RNA (241 nucleotides) under uncultured bacterium. RNAcentral's name for it is "partial 16S ribosomal RNA". It matches the Rfam family "Bacterial small subunit ribosomal RNA", at positions 1251 to 1500 of the family's 1533-position model. The record is from RNAcentral.